GUAUCAGGCGCCCGCCGGAGGACCAAACCAAACUCUUGUAUUCUAAAGAAUCUUCUGAGUAACCAUAAGUAAUAAAUUAAAACUUUCAACAACGGAUCUCUUGGUUCUGGCAUCGAUGAAGAACGCAGCGAAAUGCGAUAAGUAAUGUGAAUUGCAGAAUUCAGUGAAUCAUCGAAUCUUUGAACGCACAUUGCGCCCGCCAGUACUCUGGCGGGCAUGCCUGUUCGAGCGUCAUUUCAACCCUCAAGCUCUGCUUGGUGUUGGGGAUCGGCGUAGUGCCUUCGGGCGCUGCCGUCCCCUAAAUCUAGUGGCGGUCCCGCUGUAGCCUCCUCUGCGUAGUAGUUUUCUCCUCGCAAUGGAAUCUCGGCGGUGCCUUGCCGUUAAACCCCCAACUUCUGAAAGGUUGACCUCGAAUCAGGUAGGAAUACCCGCUGAACUUAAGCAUAUCAAUAAGCGGAGGA
RNAcentral lists this ribosomal RNA (461 nucleotides) under uncultured fungus. RNAcentral's name for it is "eukaryotic LSU rRNA". The stretch from base 81 to 234 matches the Rfam family "5.8S ribosomal RNA". Lineage: Eukaryota; Fungi. The record is from RNAcentral.